CAUUUCCUACGGGGGGCAGCAGUGGGGGAUAUUGCACAAUGGGGGGAACCCUGAUGCAGCGACGCCGCGUGGGUGAGGAAGCGCCUCGGCGCGUAAAGCCCUGUCAGCAGGGAAGAAAAUGACGGUACCUGAAGAAGAAGCCCCGGCUAACUACGUGCCAGCAGCCGCGGUAAUACGUAGGGGGCAAGCGUUAUCCGGAUUUAUUGGGUUUAAAGGGUGCGCAGGCGGCGAGUUAAGUCAGCGGUAAAAUUUCGGGGCUCAACCCCGACAAGCCGUUGAAACUGGCUUGCUAGAGUGGGCGAGAA
Molecule: ribosomal RNA, 305 nt
Filed under: uncultured bacterium
Lineage: Bacteria
Description: bacterial SSU rRNA
Rfam family: Bacterial small subunit ribosomal RNA
Source: RNAcentral